AGAGUUUGAUCCUGGCUCAGGACGAACGCUGGCGGCGUGCCUAAUACAUGCAAGUAGAACGCUGAAGGAGGAGCUUGCUUCUCCGGAUGAGUUGCGAACGGGUGAGUAACGCGUAGGUAACCUGCCUGGUAGCGGGGGAUAACUAUUGGAAACGAUAGCUAAUACCGCAUAACAGUAGAUAUUGCAUGAUAUCUGCUUGAAAGGUGCAAUUGCAUCACUACCAGAUGGACCUGCGUUGUAUUAGCUAGUUGGUGGGGUAACGGCUCACCAAGGCGACGAUACAUAGCCGACCUGAGAGGGUGAUCGGCCACACUGGGACUGAGACACGGCCCAGACUCCUACGGGAGGCAGCAGUAGGGAAUCUUCGGCAAUGGACGGAAGUCUGACCGAGCAACGCCGCGUGAGUGAAGAAGGUUUUCGGAUCGUAAAGCUCUGUUGUAAGAGAAGAACGAGUGUGAGAGUGGAAAGUUCACACUGUGACGGUAUCUUACCAGAA
Molecule: ribosomal RNA, 496 nt
Filed under: unidentified oral bacterium RP55-30
Lineage: Bacteria
Description: bacterial SSU rRNA
Rfam family: Bacterial small subunit ribosomal RNA
Source: RNAcentral